GACGCGGUGGCCUAAUGGUUAGUGCGUUGGACUCAGGAUCGAGCGAUCCGGGCUCGAACGCUGGCCUGGGUCA
Molecule: transfer RNA, 73 nt
Filed under: Desmophyllum pertusum
Lineage: Eukaryota; Metazoa; Cnidaria; Anthozoa; Scleractinia; Caryophylliidae
Description: tRNA-Leu
Source: RNAcentral